Molecule: ribosomal RNA, 305 nt
Filed under: uncultured bacterium
Lineage: Bacteria
Description: bacterial SSU rRNA
Rfam family: Bacterial small subunit ribosomal RNA
Source: RNAcentral
ACCUACGGGAGGCAGCAGUAGGGAAUUUUCGUCAAUGGGCGCAAGCCUGAACGAGCAAUGCCGCGUGAACGAGGAAGGUCUUCGGAUCGUAAAGUUCUGUUGAAGGGGAAAAAGAGCGGAGAGAGGAAAUGGUCUCCGAUUGAUAUUACCCUUCGAGGAAGUCACGGCUAACUACGUGCCAGCAGCCGCGGUAAUACGUAGGUGGCGAGCGUUAUCCGGAAUGAUUGGGCGUAAAGGGUGCGUAGGCGGCCUGCUAAGUCUGGAGUGAAAGGUACCGGAUCAACAGGUACAGGCUCUGGAAACUG